This 423-nucleotide ribosomal RNA is filed under the name uncultured Nitrosomonas sp. RNAcentral's name for it is "bacterial SSU rRNA". It matches the Rfam family "Bacterial small subunit ribosomal RNA", at positions 207 to 622 of the family's 1533-position model. The record is from RNAcentral. Lineage: Bacteria; Pseudomonadati; Pseudomonadota; Betaproteobacteria; Nitrosomonadales; Nitrosomonadaceae.
AAGACCUUGCGCUUUUAGAGCGGCCGAUGCCUGAUUAGCUAGUUGGUAAGGUAAUGGCUUACCAAGGCAACGAUCAGUAGCUGGUCUGAGAGGACGACCAGCCACACUGGGACUGAGACACGGCCCAGACUCCUACGGGAGGCAGCAGUGGGGAAUUUUGGACAAUGGGCGAAAGCCUGAUCCAGCCAUGCCGCGUGAGUGAAGAAGGCCUUCGGGUUGUAAAGCUCUUUCGGUCGGGAAGAAAUAGUUGUGGCUAAUAUCCACAAUGAAUGACGGUACCGACAUAAGAAGCACCGGCUAACUACGUGCCAGCAGCCGCGGUAAUACGUAGGGUGCAAGCGUUAAUCGNAAUUAUUGGGCGUAAAGGGUGCGCAGGCGGUUGUAUAAGUCAGAUAUAAAAUCCCUGGGGNUAACCUAANAAAU